GACCGCGUAGCUCAGCUGGUAGAGCAACUGACUUUUAAUCAGUAGGUCCAGGGUUCAAAUCCCUGCGCGGUCACCA
This 76-nucleotide transfer RNA is filed under the name Alphaproteobacteria bacterium CG1_02_46_17. RNAcentral describes it as "tRNA-Lys". It matches the Rfam family "tRNA". From Rfam's summary of the family: Transfer RNA (tRNA) molecules are approximately 80 nucleotides in length. Their secondary structure includes four short double-helical elements and three loops (D, anti-codon, and T loops). The record is from RNAcentral. Lineage: Bacteria; Pseudomonadati; Pseudomonadota; Alphaproteobacteria. RNAcentral also lists the same sequence under 1 other name.